RNAcentral lists this ribosomal RNA (392 nucleotides) under uncultured bacterium. RNAcentral's name for it is "bacterial SSU rRNA". It matches the Rfam family "Bacterial small subunit ribosomal RNA", at positions 29 to 418 of the family's 1533-position model. The record is from RNAcentral.
ACGAACGCUGGCGGCGUGCUUAACACAUGCAAGUCGAGCGGUAAGGCCCUUUCGGGGGUACACGAGCGGGCGAACGGGUGAGUAACACGUGGGUGACCUGCCCUUAGCUCUGGGAUAAGCCUGGGGAAACUGGGUCUAAUACCGGAUAUGACUCCAUGACGCAUGUUGUGGGGUGGAAAGCCUUGUGCGGCUAGGGGAUGGGGCCCGCGGCCUAUCAGCUUGUUGGUGAGGUGAUGGCCUACCAAGGCGACGACGGGUAGCCGGCCUGAGAGGGCGACCGGCCACACUGGGACUGAGACACGGCCCAGACUCCUACGGGAGGCAGCAGUGGGGAAUCUUGCGCAAUGGGCGAAAGCCUGACGCAGCGACGCCGCGUGAGGGAUGACGGCCUC